UACGAAGGGGGCUAGCGUUGCUCGGAAUCACUGGGCGUAAAGGGUGCGUAGGCGGGUCUUUAAGUCAGGGGUGAAAUCCUGGAGCUCAACUCCAGAACUGCCUUUGAUACUGAAGAUCUUGAGUUCGGGAGAGGUGAGUGGAACUGCGAGUGUAGAGGUGAAAUUCGUAGAUAUCCGGAGGAACACCAGUGGCGAAGGCGGCACUCUGGGUCGGCCCUGACGCUGAGGCGCGAAAGCGUGGGGAGCGAACGGG
This 253-nucleotide ribosomal RNA is filed under the name uncultured bacterium. RNAcentral's name for it is "partial 16S ribosomal RNA". It matches the Rfam family "Bacterial small subunit ribosomal RNA", at positions 524 to 776 of the family's 1533-position model. The record is from RNAcentral.